GUAUUCAUUUUGGCAUCACAUAAUACUAAAACGAACAAUACAGAGAAGAUUAGCAUGGUCCCUGCCCAAGAAUGACAUGCAUCUUUGGGAAGUAUUCCAUAUUUUU
Non-coding RNA from Otolemur garnettii (small-eared galago), 106 nucleotides. The record is from Rfam. Lineage: Eukaryota; Metazoa; Chordata; Mammalia; Primates; Galagidae.